UGAAAUACCACCCUUUAAUGUUUGAUGUUCUAACGUGGACCCGUUACCCGGGUUGCGGACAGUGUCUGGUGGGUAGUUUGACUGGGGCGGUCUCCUCCUAAAGAGUAACGGAGGAGCACGAAGGUUGGCUAAUCCUGGUCGGACAUCAGGAGGUUAGUGCAAUGGCAUAAGCCAGCUUGACUGCGAGCGUGACGGCGCGAGCAGGUGCGAAAGCAGGUCAUAGUGAUCCGGUGGUUCUGAAUGGAAGGGCCAUCGCUCAACGGAUAAAAGGUACUCCGGGGAUAACAGGCUGAUACCGCCCAAGAGUUCAUAUCGACGGCGGUGUUUGGCACCUCGAUGUCGGCUCAUCACAUCCUGGGGCUGAAGUAGGUCCCAAGGGUAUGGCUGUUCGCCAUUUAAAGUGGUACGCGAGCUGGGUUUAGAACGUCGUGAGACAGUUCGGUCCCUAUCUGCCGUGGGCGCUGGAGAACUGAGGGGGGCUGCUCCUAGUACGAGAGGACCGGAGUGGACGCAUCACUGGUGUUCGGGUUGUCAUGCCAAUGGCACUGCCCGGUAGCUAAAUGCGGAAGAGAUAAGUGCUGAAAGCAUCUAAGCACGAAACUUGCCCCGAGAUGAGUUCUCCCUGAGACUUAGAGUCUCCUGAAGGAACGUUGAAGACGACGACGUUGAUAGGCCGGGUGUGUAAGCGCAGCGAUGCGUUGAGCUAACCGGUACUAAUGAACCGUGAGGCUUAACCUUACA
RNAcentral lists this ribosomal RNA (741 nucleotides) under Salmonella enterica. RNAcentral's name for it is "partial 23S ribosomal RNA". It matches the Rfam family "Bacterial large subunit ribosomal RNA", at positions 2193 to 2925 of the family's 2925-position model. Lineage: Bacteria; Pseudomonadati; Pseudomonadota; Gammaproteobacteria; Enterobacterales; Enterobacteriaceae. The record is from RNAcentral.